Molecule: long non-coding RNA, 2287 nt
Filed under: Sus scrofa (pig)
Lineage: Eukaryota; Metazoa; Chordata; Mammalia; Artiodactyla; Suidae
Description: lncRNA (ENSSSCG00035080483.1)
Source: RNAcentral
CCCCAGCCCCCCCCCCCCCCCCCCCCCCCCCCCCCCGCCCUCGCCGCUGCAGGGAAUUGCUACGAUGCCACUUGCAUAUUAAGUCUGGUCAUUUGAGACAAUUAAAGGAUACCGAGAAAAUGAGCUACCUGACACUUCUAUGUAAAUGAGAACAUGCAUAGUAAUGAGGGGAGGGGUACAAAGGUGAGCUACCAGAGAAGUCCAUAAAAGAAGGACCACAGCUGACUGUCAUAUGAAAAUGCUGUGAGUCACAGCAGGGAGAGGCUGCUCUCCAGGAGUCUCACCUCGGCAGCCAGGGGUGCUGCAGGACACUGAGUUCUCUGCGUCCCCCUCGUCUGGGGGCUGCCCGCAGCCCAGGCAGUAGGUCUCGGGCUGCCUAAAGUGGCUGAUAAACGGAGCCAGGCAGGAGCACCUGAGGAGAAGCAUCCCAGACACUAAACAGGCCAGCCCAGCCAGCCUAAGGAGCCCUCAUCCUCUCCGGCACCACCCUCCAGACCAAGGGCAGACUUCCUGCAGUCUGACCUCCAUCCCACCGACUGCAGCAACAACUUCUCUGCUUCUUGUCCUCCUCCUCCUUGUAUCCCCGCCCCUUAGCAUUCUUAUCCCUUCAUUCAUGCACGAGUGCCAUGGAAUGAGCACCCCCUUCAACCAAACCUCAGAACACUUAGGAAAGACGGGGUCCAUUCUGACCUCUGGCUCUUUUUCUGCCCCAUCUGGCCCCACUUCCAAUAAGGAAGGACAGUGGGCUCACCGCUUAGCCAGCACCUGGAGGACACUCAUGUGGCCCUGGUCAGCAGCCCGUCUCCUCACUGAACGAUGCAGGGCCCCCAACAGCUUGGUUCGGCGGCUCAGAAGUACGUUGUAGAGCUGGUACCGUGCCAGGUCAAGCACCCAGAAGACGGCAUAGUCCAGGAAGACCAGGAGCAGCACCAGAAGGAGGUGCCGGAUAAGGUGGAAAAUCGCCAGGAUGUAAAAAAUCUUCUCCCACCGGGACAAGAAGAUGGAGCCUGGGGGUGGGGGUGGGGGGGCUGGUCAGGAGGAUGUGCCCUAAUUCUCCCACUCACCAGACCCCAGCUCCUAGAGAGAUCUACCUCCUGGAGGCUUCUCCUGCCCCUGAACAAGCGGGGGCCUGUCUGCUUCUCUGGAAGAUGCAGAAGCAAUGAGGACCGCUGGGCAAGCAUAGGAAGCCCUAUUCGCCGGCAGGGCUCCAUGGCUAGAGUGGCAGGCCUCGUAUUUCCACCUGGGCCUGGGGGCCUAUUUCCCGUCUCCAGGAACCCUCCCUCCUGAGGCAUCCCUGAUACCCUCACCCGGCCCCCACCUUACAAACAGCACCACCCCACCUCCACGGCCCCCCAGGCUGCAUCUCCUCCCUGUCAGCACAUGCGCACUUCCGGCUCUCCAUCCCGAAAGCCUCCCCAACUUCAUUUCCCUUGCUCCGUAUCCACUCACCACCCACCCUUCCCUCUGUCCUGACAUCCUGGGUGCUGCCAGAAGCAUCGAUGUGCUUUCCCUCUCCGCCUGCAGGCUCUCAGGAACCGGAUUUCCCCUCUCAGGAAGUACGGCUCCCCGAGGACAGGGCCGUGUCUUCCUCUAGCCUGAGAUGUCCUUCAGCUCUGGCUUGUCUCCCCUACCUCUGAGUCUGCCCCGGAGCCCAAGCUGUGCAUGGGGCUUCUGGGCAGGGCGGUGGGGCUGGGGGCAGCUGGCCUCUUCAGGGUCCCUGUGUCCCGGUCCUCGGGGCCCUCACCUGGCUGGAUGUAGAGUCUGGCCUCGCGGGCACUGAGUGGCAGCACCGUGGGCAGUCCCACCGUGGAGCGGACGGCCUCCAUGCGCAGGAAUUGACCGGUGAUGUAGAUGUUGUCGAAGUCGUCCCAGUUCAGGUAACAGUACCGGUAAAACAGGGCUCUGGGGGAGCACACGGGAGGCUUCUCAGCACCCCUGACCCACCUACCUACUGCCCCAGGGCACCCCUCUCUGCCGCCCCCGCCUCCACAUUCCGGCCUCCCAGAAUGCCUUGCGAGCAGCCCCAGCCCCCAGCCCCCACCGGCUCGCCAGCCCCUCACUGGACAUAGAGAAGCAGGAACAGCAGGGGCGUGGUGUAGCCCAUCAGAGCCAAGGCCUCCUGGAUGCGGUAGAGCUUCGUGCUGACAGCUUCGUGGAGGUCCAGAGCCACCUGAGACAGGCUCCGAGAGGCAUUGAGAUCCACGGAGAAGUGGUGGGUGGCUGUCACGUUGAACUCAAACUCUUGACGCACCCGGUUAAUCAGCUUCCUUAUGGCUGGGACCGGCGG